This 246-nucleotide ribosomal RNA is filed under the name uncultured bacterium. Its description in RNAcentral is "partial 16S ribosomal RNA". It matches the Rfam family "Bacterial small subunit ribosomal RNA", at positions 524 to 769 of the family's 1533-position model. The record is from RNAcentral.
UACGAAGGGGGCUAGCGUUGUUCGGAAUUACUGGGCGUAAAGCGCGCGCAGGCGGCUCUUCAAGUCAGGGGUGAAAGCCCAGAGCUCAACUCUGGAACUGCCUUUGAGACUGAAGAGCUUGAGUACGGGAGAGGUGAGUGGAAUUCCCAGUGUAGAGGUGAAAUUCGUAGAUAUUGGGAAGAACACCGGUGGCGAAGGCGGCUCACUGGCCCGUUACUGACGCUCAGGCGCGACAGCGUGGGGAUC